AUUGAACGCUGGCGGCGUGCUUAACACAUGCAAGUCGAACGUGAAAGUCCUUCGGGGCGAGUAAAGUGGCGCACGGGUGAGUAACGCGUGGAUAAUCUACCCUUAAGAUGGGGAUAACGGCUGGAAACGGUCGCUAAUACCGAAUACGCUCCCGAUUUUAUCGUUGGGGGGAAAGAUGGCCUCUGCUUGCAAGCUAUCGCUUAAGGAUGAGUCCGCGUCCCAUUAGCUAGUUGGCGGGGUAACGGCCCACCAAGGCGACGAUGGGUAGCCGGUCUGAGAGGAUGAUCGGCCACACUGGAACUGGAACACGGUCCAGACUCCUACGGGAGGCAGCAGUGGGGAAUAUUGCGCAAUGGGCGAAAGCCUGACGCAGCGACGCCGCGUGAGGGAUGAAGGUUCUCGGAUCGUAAACCUCUGUCAGGGGGGAAGAAACCCCCUCGUGUGAAU
RNAcentral lists this ribosomal RNA (447 nucleotides) under uncultured bacterium. RNAcentral describes it as "bacterial SSU rRNA". It matches the Rfam family "Bacterial small subunit ribosomal RNA", at positions 30 to 465 of the family's 1533-position model. The record is from RNAcentral.